AGGAUGAACGCUGGCGGCGUGCCUAACACAUGCAAGUCGAACGUCCUGUCUCGCAAGAGGCAGGGAGUGGCGGACGGGUGAGUACCACGUGGGUCAUCUACCGUGAGGUGAGGAAUACCGGCGAGAAAUCGCCGACAAGACCGCAUAGGCUCGAUGCAAGUCGAGCAAAGCUCUUUCGAGAGAGGGAGCGCCACACGAGGAGCCUGCGCCCGAUUAGCUAGCUGGUGGAGUAACGGUUCACCAGGGCGACGAUCGGUAGCUGGUCUGAGAGGACGAUCAGCCACACUGGGAUUGAGAACGGCCCAGACUCCUACGGGGGGCAGCAGUGAGGAAUUUUCGUCAAUGGGGGCAACCCUGAACGAGCAACGCCGCGUGCAGGAAGAAGGUUUUCGGAUCGUAAACUGCUUUUCUCGGGGAAGAGAACGGACGGUACCCGAGGAAUCGAGCCCCGGCUAACUACGUGCCAGCAGCCGC
This 474-nucleotide ribosomal RNA is filed under the name uncultured bacterium. Its description in RNAcentral is "SSU rRNA". It matches the Rfam family "Bacterial small subunit ribosomal RNA", at positions 26 to 518 of the family's 1533-position model. The record is from RNAcentral.